GACGAACGCUGGCGGCGUGCUUAACACAUGCAAGUCGAACGAAGAGCGAUGGAAGCUUGCUUCUAUCAAUCUUAGUGGCGAACGGGUGAGUAACGCGUAAUCAACCUGCCCUUCAGAGGGGGACAACAGUUGGAAACGACUGCUAAUACCGCAUACGAUCUCUUCACGGCAUCGAGGCGAGAUGUAAGGUGGCCUCUGCAGGUCUGCCGUCACUGCAGGAGGGGAGUGCGGCUGUUGGGCUAGUUGGAGGGGAAGGGUCCCCGCAAGGCGAGGGUCAGUGGCCGGGCUGAGAGGAUGGACGGCCACCUUGGGACUGAGACACGGCCCAGACUCCUACGGGAGGCAGCAGUGGGGAAUCGUCCGCAAUGGACGAAAGUCUGACGGAGCAACGCCGCGUGAGUGAUGACGGCCUUCGGGUUGUAAAGCUCUGUUAAUCGGGACGAAAGGCCUUCUUGCGAAUAGUGAGAAGGAUUGACGGUACCGGAAUAGAAAGCCACGGCUAACUACGUG
This 510-nucleotide ribosomal RNA is filed under the name uncultured bacterium. RNAcentral's name for it is "partial 16S ribosomal RNA". It matches the Rfam family "Bacterial small subunit ribosomal RNA", at positions 28 to 507 of the family's 1533-position model. The record is from RNAcentral.